GCCAGGUGUGGUGGCACACGCCUAUAAUCCCAGCAGCUUGGGAGGCUGAGGCAGGAGGAUGGAAAGUUUAAAGCCAGCCUCAGCAAAAGCAAGGUGCCAAGCAACUUAGUCAGACUCUGUCUCUA
RNAcentral lists this small RNA (125 nucleotides) under Marmota monax (woodchuck). The record is from RNAcentral. Lineage: Eukaryota; Metazoa; Chordata; Mammalia; Rodentia; Sciuridae.